AAUUAUUUUAAUUAAAUUUGUGUUUAUUUUGGUUAUAUAUUGUAAUUUAUAGUAUUAUGGAGAAAUAAUUUCUUAUUAUUAAACUGAAAAGGUUAUGUAUAAUUUUAUAUUAAUGAAUAUUAAAGUACCUUUUGUAUCAGGGUAAUUUAAUUUAAUUAAAUAUUUUAUGCUCCCGAAUUAAUGAUAUCUAUAAAUUUAUGUAAUUGUUUGUUGAAUAAAAUUUUAUAAUAUUUUUAUAGUAAUGAAAUGUUUACGUUCUUUCUUUAUCUGGUUGUUAAGGAUUUAAUAUAAUUAUAUAUCUAUAAAAUAUUUGUAAUUUAUAAUUUAUUAGAUGUUAUUUUAUUAGGGAUAAUCUUAAUAAAUUUAUUAAAAUAUUAGUUUUAAUACAUUUAUUUUCUUUUAAAUUUUGAUUUAAGUUUUUAUUAAAUUUUUGUAUUUGAUUAUGAUUUGUUUUUAUUUAUUUUUGUACUUAAUUAUUUUAUAAAAUUUUUAUAUAGCAUAAAUAAUGAUUUAAUUAGUAUAAUUUUAAUUUAACUUAAAAUGAAUUCGACAAUAACUAUUUCCAACUGUUUAUCAAAAACAUUUCUUUUUGUUAUUAUAAAAAAAGUACUUUCUGCCCUAUGAUAUAAUUUAAAUGGCUGCAGUAUUUUGACUGUACAAAGGUAGCAUAAUAAUUAGUUUCUUAAUUAGAAGCUGGAAUGAAUGGAUAUAUGAGAUAUAAUUUUUAUUUGGCUUAAAGUUAUAAGUUUAAUUGUAAGUAAAAAUGCUUAUAUAAUUUUUAGGGACGAGAAGACCCUACAGAGCUUAAAAUAUUAAGCUUAAAUUUUUUUUAAUAUAAAUAUUUUAUAGAGUUGAAAAAUUUUUUGCUGGGGUGGUAGUUAAAUUUUAACUUUAAUUUGUUUAUUCAUUAAUAGAUGUCUAAUUUGAUCCUGUAGGAAUUAAGAUAAAGUUACCUUAGGGAUAACAGCGUAAUUUUAAUGGGGAGUUCUUAUCUAUAUUAUAUUUUGCGACCUCGAUGUUGAAUUAAGAAAAUCUAAGGAAGCAGCAUUCCUUAUCUUAAGUCUGUUCGACUUUUAAAUUCUUACAUGAUUUGAGUUCAGACCGGCGUGAGCCAGGUUGGUUUCUAUCUUAAAAUAUUUUAUUAGCUUAGUACGAAAGGACCAGUUAGUUAUACGUUUUAAAGUAUUUUAUUAAUAA
This 1197-nucleotide ribosomal RNA is filed under the name Drabescoides nuchalis. RNAcentral describes it as "16S ribosomal RNA". The stretch from base 778 to 1133 matches the Rfam family "Archaeal large subunit ribosomal RNA", at positions 2150 to 2716 of the family's 2987-position model. Lineage: Eukaryota; Metazoa; Arthropoda; Insecta; Hemiptera; Cicadellidae. The record is from RNAcentral.